AGUGGAUGGGGAGCAACCUAGUUGUGCGUGUGUAAAGGUAGUGCCAAGAAAAGCGAUGAUCAUGUUGAAAAUCAAUUCCCGGUACCCGAAACCGACACAGGUGGGCAAGUAGAGAAUACUAAGGGGCGCGAGGUAACUCUCUCCAAGGAACUCGGCAAAAUGACCCCGUAACUUAGGGAGAAGGGGUGCCACCGAGAGGUGGUCGCAGUGAGGAGGCCCAGGCGACUGUUUAGCAAAAACAUAGGUCUCUGCAAACUCGAAAGAGGAGGUAUAGGGGCUGACGCCUGCCCAGUGCCGGAAGGUUAAAGAAGUUGGUGUCUUAGGAUGAAGCUAGCGACUGAAGCCCCGGUGAACGGCGGCCGUAACUAUAACGGUCCUGAGGUAGCGAAAUUCCUUGUCGGGUAAGUUCCGACCCGCACGAAAGGCGUAACGAUCUGGGCGCUGUCUCGGAGAGAGGCUCGGCGAAAUAGGAUUGUCCGUGAAGAUACGGACUACCUGCAUUUGGACAGAAAGACCCUAUGAAGCUUUACUAUAGCUUGGAAUUGUGUUCGGGCUUCCUGUGCGCAGGAUAGGUGGGAGGCGUAGAAGGUAUUCUUGUGGGGAUACUGGAGCCAACGGUGAGAUACCACUCUCAGGAGGCUAGAAUUCUAACUUAAUUAAGGACAGUUUCAGGUGGGUAGUUUGACUGGGGCGGUCGCCUCCAAAAAGGUAACGGAGGCGUACAAAGGUUCCCUCAGACUGGUUGGAAAUCAGUCGAAGAGUGCAAAGGCAGAAGGGAGCUUGACUGCGAGAAGUACAGUUCGAGCAGGGUGGAAACACGGUCUUAGUGAUCCGACGGUGCUGUGUGGAAGGGCCGUCGCUCAACGGAUAAAAGUUACUCUAAGGAUAACAGGCUGAUCUCCCCCAAGAGUUCACAUCGACGGGGAGGUUUGGCACCUCGACGUCGGCUCAUCGCAACCUGGGGCGGAAGUACGUCCCAAGGGUUGGGCUGUUCGCCCAUUAAAGCGGUACGUGAGCUGGGUUCAGAACGUCGUGAGACAGUUCGGUCCAUAUCCGAUGUAGGCGUGAGAAUAUUGAGAGGAGCCUUCCUUAGUACGAGAGGACCGGGAAGGACGCACCGCUGGUGUACCUGUUAUGAUGCCAAUUGUAAACGCAGGGUAGCCAAGUGCGGAGAGGAUAACCGCUGAAAGCAUCUAAGUGGGAAGCCCACCUCAAGAUGAGUAUUCUGGUGUAAGGUCACGGGAAGACGACCCGUAAAUAGGCACGAGGUGGAAGUGCAGAGAUGUAUGAAGCCGAAGUGUACUAAUAGACCGUCGGCUUG
This 1321-nucleotide ribosomal RNA is filed under the name metagenome. Its description in RNAcentral is "bacterial LSU rRNA". It matches the Rfam family "Bacterial large subunit ribosomal RNA", at positions 1561 to 2925 of the family's 2925-position model. The record is from RNAcentral.